Molecule: ribosomal RNA, 243 nt
Filed under: uncultured bacterium
Lineage: Bacteria
Description: partial 16S ribosomal RNA
Rfam family: Bacterial small subunit ribosomal RNA
Source: RNAcentral
UAGGGGGCAAGCGUUAUCCGGAUUUACUGGGUGUAAAGGGUGCGUAGGUGGUAUGGCAAGUCAGAAGUGAAAACCCGGGGCUCAACCCCGUGGAUUGCUUUUGAAACUGUCAGACUGGAGUACCGGAGAGGUAAGCGGAAUUCCUAGUGUAGCGGUGAAAUGCGUAGAUAUUAGGAGGAACACCAGUGGCGAAGGCGGCUUACUGGACGGUAACUGACACUGAGGCACGAAAGCGUGGGGAGC